AUUGAACGCUGGCGGCAGGCCUAACACAUGCAAGUCGAACGAGUGGCGGACGGGUGAGUAAUGUCUGGGAAACUGCCCGAUGGAGGGGGAUAACUACUGGAAACGGUAGCUAAUACCGCAUACCAUCGGAUGUGCCCAGAUGGGAUUAGCUAGUAGGUGGGGUAACGGCUCACCUAGGCGAAGAUCCCUAGCUGGUCUGAGAGGAUGACCAGCCACACUGGAACUGAUACACGGUCCAGACUCCUACGGGAGGCAGCAGUGGGGAAUAUUGCACAAUUGGCGCAAUCCUGAUGCAGCCAUGCCGCGUGUAUGAAGAAGGCCUUCGGGUUGUAAAGUACUUUCUGCGAGGAAGCGUUACUCGCUGAAGAAGCACCGGCUAACUCCGUGCCAGCAGCCGCGGUAAUAC
This 406-nucleotide ribosomal RNA is filed under the name uncultured bacterium. RNAcentral's name for it is "partial 16S ribosomal RNA". It matches the Rfam family "Bacterial small subunit ribosomal RNA", at positions 30 to 526 of the family's 1533-position model. The record is from RNAcentral.